RNAcentral lists this long non-coding RNA (957 nucleotides) under Gorilla gorilla gorilla (western lowland gorilla). RNAcentral's name for it is "lncRNA (ENSGGOG00000044230.1)". Lineage: Eukaryota; Metazoa; Chordata; Mammalia; Primates; Hominidae. The record is from RNAcentral.
CUUUGCAUAUGUGGAAGGGGAAAGUCUGCUGAUGGCACUGAAGGACGUUGCCUUAUCCUCAGGGAGUGCCUGCACCUCUGCAUCCCUGGAGCCCUCUUAUGUGCUUAGAGCAAUUGGCACUGAUGAGGAUUUAGCGCACUCUUCUAUCAGGUUUGGAAUUGGCCGCUUCACUACAGAGGAGGAAGUGGACUACACAGUGGAGAAAUGCAUUCAGCAUGUGAAGCGUCUUCGAGAAAUGAGCCCUCUCUGGGAGAUGGUUCAGGAUGGCAUUGACCUCAAGAGCAUCAAGUGGACCCAACACUAGAAGAAUAGGGCCCUGACUUUGUGCUGGUCUGGCCCCUCCUGCCUCACCAACCCGUGCACAACCAGACACCUUGUUACACCUAGUGGAUGCUCUAGAUUGGUAUAGACCAGUUGACUUCAGCAUCAGUCCACCUCUAUGACAGAAACACAAGAAAACUGUCUUUCCCUAGCUUCAGUUCCUUGGGUGUGGAGCACUCCCCAUUUCUUCUCGGGUCUUAAAGUGUGUGGACAUUUUCAUCCCGAAGCCAUAGAGACAUUUGCUGUCAUAUUGCUGCUGGGCACAUCUGUGCUGUUGGUGAGGAGAGCAAGAGGAACCAGAAGAAGUCUCUUUGGUCAGGGACCAUGAUGCUCUACAUGGACAUUUGAGUCUUCGUCUUCUGCUGCUGCUCGGCUGGACCAGCUUCUUUAACAGCAAGCAUAAUCCACUUCAAUUUAAUAUUUUCUGUAGCUCCAAAGGCUAUCUCUUCAUAUUGACUGCAGACAGACUGAAUGGACAGUUUCUUAGAGGGCUUGUCUCCUUUCUACCCUUGUCCUCUUUCCUUUCCUUUGACCUAAUGGAGCUAGAAAUAUGUCUAUGACUCCACCAGUUAUUCUAAUAAUUUGUUUUCUUGAAAAUUGUUAAUUUCAUGACUGGAGAAAUAAACUCACCUUCUA